Molecule: ribosomal RNA, 490 nt
Filed under: uncultured bacterium
Lineage: Bacteria
Description: partial 16S ribosomal RNA
Rfam family: Bacterial small subunit ribosomal RNA
Source: RNAcentral
AGUGAACGCUGGCGGUAGGCCUAACUUGCAAGUCGAACGGCAGCACAGUAAGAGCUUGCUCUUACGGGUGGCGAGUGGCGGACGGGUGAGGAAUACAUCGGAAUCUACUUUUUCGUGGGGGAUAACGUAGGGAAACUUACGCUAAUACCGCAUACGACCUACGGGUGAAAGCAGGGGAUCUUCGGACCUUGCGCGAUUGAAUGAGCCGAUGUCGGAUUAGCUAGUUGGCGGGGUAAAGGCCCACCAAGGCGACGAUCCGUAGCUGGUCUGAGAGGAUGAUCAGCCACACUGGAACUGAGACACGGUCCAGACUCCUACGGGAGGCAGCAGUGGGGAAUAUUGGACAAUGGGCGCAAGCCUGAUCCAGCCAUACCGCGUGGGUGAAGAAGGCCUUCGGGUUGUAAAGCCCUUUUGUUGGGAAAGAAAAGCAGCAGGUUAAUACCCCGCUGUUCUGACGGUACCCAAAGAAUAAGCACCGGCUAACUUCGUG